AUUGAACGCUGGCGGCAGGCUUAACACAUGCAAGUCGAGCGGGAAUAGGUAGCUUGCUACUGAAUUCUAGCGGCGGACGGGUGAGUAAAGCUUAGGAAUCUGCCAUUUAGUGGGGGACAACAUUCCGAAAGGGAUGCUAAUACCGCAUACGUCCUACGGGAGAAAGCAGGGGAUCACUUGUGACCUUGCGCUAAAUGAUGAGCCUAAGUCGGAUUAGCUAGUUGGUGGGGUAAAGGCCUACCAAGGCGACGAUCUGUAGCGGGUCUGAGAGGAUGAUCCGCCACACUGGGACAGAGACACGGCCCAGACUCCUACGGGAGGCAGCAGUGGGGAAUAUUGGACAAUGGGGGGAACCCUGAUCCAGCCAUGCCGCGUGUGUGAAGAAGGCCUUUUGGUUGUAAAGCACUUUAAGCGAGGAGGAGGCUACCUGGAUUAAUACUCUAGGAUAGUGGACGUUACUCGCAGAAUAAGCACCGGCUAACUCUGUGCCAGCCGCGGUAAAAC
This 504-nucleotide ribosomal RNA is filed under the name uncultured bacterium. RNAcentral's name for it is "partial 16S ribosomal RNA". It matches the Rfam family "Bacterial small subunit ribosomal RNA", at positions 30 to 526 of the family's 1533-position model. The record is from RNAcentral.